UGAACGCUGGCGGCGUGCUUAACACAUGCAAGUCGAACGAGAACGGUACUAGCUUGCUAGUAUGUCAGCUAAGUGGCGGACGGGUGAGUAAUGUAUAGUUAAUCUGCCCUUUAGAGGGGGAUAACAGUUGAAAACGACUGCUAAUACCCCAUACUCCUUUUAUCUUAAUGAUAAUUGGGAAACGUUUUUUCGCUAAAGGAUGAGACUAUAUGGUAUCAGGUAGUUGGUGGGGUAAGAGCCUACCAAGCCAAUGACGCCUAGCUGGUCUGAGAGGAUGAUCAGCCACACUGGAACUGAGACACGGUCCAGACUCCUACGGGAGGCAGCAGUGGGGAAUAUUGCACAAUGGAGGAAACUCUGAUGCAGCAACGCCGCGUGGAGGAUGACGCAUUUCGGUGUGUAAACUCCUUUUAUAUGGGAAGAUAAUGACGGUACCAUAUGAAUAAGCACCGGCUAACUCC
RNAcentral lists this ribosomal RNA (461 nucleotides) under uncultured bacterium. RNAcentral describes it as "bacterial SSU rRNA". It matches the Rfam family "Bacterial small subunit ribosomal RNA", at positions 30 to 504 of the family's 1533-position model. The record is from RNAcentral.